This 256-nucleotide ribosomal RNA is filed under the name uncultured bacterium. RNAcentral's name for it is "partial 16S ribosomal RNA". It matches the Rfam family "Bacterial small subunit ribosomal RNA", at positions 524 to 777 of the family's 1533-position model. The record is from RNAcentral.
UACGGAGGGUGCAAGCGUUGUCCGGAAUCAUUGGGCGUAAAGGGCGCGUAGGUGGCCUGCUAAGCGUGCGGUGAAAGUCGGGGGCUCAACCCCCGAUCGGCCGUGCGAACUGGGAGGCUUGAGCACUGUAGAGGCAGGCGGAAUUCCGGGUGUAGCGGUGGAAUGCGUAGAGAUCCGGAAGAACACCGGUGGCGAAGGCGGCCUGCUGGGCAGUUUUGCUGACACUGAGGCGCGACAGCGUGGGGAGCAAACAGGG